UAGGGAAUAUUGCUUAAUGGGCGAAAGCCUGAAGCAGCAACGCCGCGUGCGCGAUGAAGGCCUUCGGGUUGUAAAGCGCUUUUUGAGGGGAUGAGGAAGGACAGUACCCUCAGAAUAAGCCUCGGCUAACUACGUGCCAGCAGCCGCGGUAAAACGUAGGAGGCAAGCGUUAUCCGGAUUUACUGGGCGUAAAGCGCGUGCAGGUGGUUCGGAAAGUUGGAUGUGAAAGCUCCUGGCUUAACCGGGAGAGGUCAUUCAAUACUUCCGGGCUUGAGUGCGGGAGAGGGAGGUGGAAUUCCGGGUGUAGUGGUGAAAUGCGUAGAUAUCCGGAGGAACACCAGUGGCGAAAAGCGGCCUCCUGGUCCGCUACUGACACUUAGACGCGAAAAGCUAGGGGUAGCAAAACGGGAUUAGAGACCCCCGGGUAGUCCUAGCCGUAAAACGAUGUGAACUUGGCGUUGGUGGGUUCAAAAUCCAUCAGUGCCGCAGCUAACGCGAUAAGUUCACCGCCUGGGGGACUACGAUCGCAAGGUUAAAACUCAAAGGAAUUGAC
RNAcentral lists this ribosomal RNA (553 nucleotides) under uncultured bacterium. RNAcentral describes it as "partial 16S ribosomal RNA". It matches the Rfam family "Bacterial small subunit ribosomal RNA", at positions 355 to 914 of the family's 1533-position model. The record is from RNAcentral.